Molecule: long non-coding RNA, 1485 nt
Organism: Astatotilapia calliptera (eastern happy)
Lineage: Eukaryota; Metazoa; Chordata; Actinopteri; Cichliformes; Cichlidae
Source: Ensembl
CUUUCAUACUCUUCCAGAAAAGCUAUUCUUCCUCCACAGUAAAUGACACUUUAUUGUGACAGCCCUUUAUUUAAGCUUAAAUACACAGAAGCCUGUAGUAUAUUCCUUCACAUUCAAGACUCAUAUUGGCCUUGCCUUUCCAUCUCCCACUGUUUUUAAUAUGUUUCUAAUUGUAACAUGCAAUUCAGCAUUGUCAAGUGUUUUUUAGCUACUGCCUUUCAUUACCUUGAGCCUGUUAACACUUCCCAACACUGGGAGAGAGACAAAGGAAUCUGAAAGAAUCUGACAAGAAAGGAUGCUGAAAGAAUGCACCAUAAAGAAGACAUGUAAAAUUCCUAAUAUUCAAAGAACCGUCACCCCCUCGUACCCAGUUACAAUAACAGUAGAAGUGCUUGACUGGACCUAAUAAUUUGUCUUCAUAGCUGAAGCGAUGGCUAUACAAUAAAAGGAAAAAAGCACUUUUCUCUGCUGUGUCAAACCAUUUCAAUAUUAUAUUCAGUACUUUCCAGGCCAAGGAGCGCACUGUGGAAGAUUUAUGUCAUGUUGCAAGGCUAGUGUGCCUUAUUCAUCACACCUUCAUAUUUCAUAAAAGCAGUAUGAUGUGUUUUUCAUUCCAACCUUUAUUCUCUGUUUAUUCUUCCCUGUAUGCUCACUAAAACUAUUUAGAAGUAAGUUUAACACCAUGAGACCUUAUUCUUUGUGUAUUAAAGAGUAAGUGCAACUAUGAACACGGCACUACUUUAGCUUAUUUCUUACUUCACACACCCUGUCUUAAUGUCUUAACAUUCAUUGUUGUAAGACCACUGAAGCUAUUAAGAUGGGAGUUGAAGACCUUGAGCUUCCUUUCUUUAAUUUUAUUUCAUAUGAAUGAAUAAGUACAGCUAUGGUGUUGGGACUACUUUUUUUUUUUUUUUUUUUUACCUAAUAUAAUAUGAACUUGGAUUGUAUUCACAAACAUUUAGAGAAUACUCAAGGGAAGAUCUUGAAAGUUUCCAUAGAGACUCAAAUCUGAUAGGAAACCGGACUUGAAUCUUUUAGAUAUGAUGUUCAGUCAAUUGAGAAAUGCUUGCACAGUGCAUCACUCUCUUUUAUUUCUUUCCUAUUUCAACACCUACCUUACAACCAUUGCCUUACCAACAUUUAUAUAGAUUUUUUUCUCUAAAGAUCAAUCCCCGUGUCUUUUAUGAACUCCUGACCUUUCCUUUUCAAGGCCUCCAUUUGUGGGCUCAAAUGAAUUGCUUUGGCAACUGCUUUAUUGAGUACGGGGUUACACUGAUGCUUGGUGCAAUCAUAGAUUGCAUAUGAAAGAUGGAUGUAGCCACUAUGAUGUUAACCAUUGGUUUCCUAUCUCUAUUUUUGAUUUGGAUAGGCCAAUAAAGCUGCCGUGAGAGGUGAAUGACGCAAAACUCUUCACUGUCCAAUCAAUGGAUGUGAGGAGCUCAGCUGGGGAGGAGCAGAAGCCAUUUUCUCCAAUGAGCCAUUGCC